Molecule: ribosomal RNA, 850 nt
Filed under: Pseudomonas poae
Lineage: Bacteria; Pseudomonadati; Pseudomonadota; Gammaproteobacteria; Pseudomonadales; Pseudomonadaceae
Description: bacterial SSU rRNA
Rfam family: Bacterial small subunit ribosomal RNA
Source: RNAcentral
AUGGCUCACCAAGGCGACGAUCCGUAACUGGUCUGAGAGGAUGAUCAGUCACACUGGAACUGAGACACGGUCCAGACUCCUACGGGAGGCAGCAGUGGGGAAUAUUGGACAAUGGGCGAAAGCCUGAUCCAAGCCAUGCCGCGUGUGUGAAGAAGGUCUUCGGAUUGUAAAGCACUUUAAGUUGGGAGGAAGGGCAGUUACCUAAUACGUGAUUGUUUUGACGUUACCGACAGAAUAAGCACCGGCUAACUCUGUGCCAGCAGCCGCGGUAAUACAGAGGGUGCAAGCGUUAAUCGGAAUUACUGGGCGUAAAGCGCGCGUAGGUGGUUUGUUAAGUUGGAUGUGAAAUCCCCGGGCUCAACCUGGGAACUGCAUUCAAAACUGACUGACUAGAGUAUGGUAGAGGGUGGGUGGAAUUUCCCUGUGUAGCGGUGAAAUGCGUAGAUAUAGGAAGGAACACCAGUGGCGAAGGCGACCACCUGGACUAAUACUGACACUGAGGUGCGAAAGCGUGGGGAGCAWACAGGAUUAGAUACCCUGGUAGUCCACGCCGUAAACGAUGUCAACUAGCCGUUGGAAGCCUUGAGCUUUUAGUGGCGCAGCUAACGCAUUAAGUUGACCGCCUGGGGAGUACGGCCGCAAGGUUAAAACUCAAAUGAAUUGACGGGGGCCCGCACAAGCGGUGGAGCAUGUGGUUUAAUUCGAAGCAACGCGAAGAACCUUACCAGGCCUUGACAUCCAAUGAACUUUCUAGAGAUAGAUUGGUGCCUUCGGGAACAUUGAGACAGGUGCUGCAUGGCUGYCGUCAGCUCGKGUCGUGAGAUGUUGGGUUAAGUCCCGUAACGAGCGC